GACGAACGCUGGCGGCGUGCCUAAUACAUGCAAGUAGAACGCUGAAGAGAGGAGCUUGCUCUUCUUGGAUGAGUUGCGAACGGGUGAGUAACGCGUAGGUAACCUGCCUUGUAGCGGGGGAUAACUAUUGGAAACGAUAGCUAAUGCCGCAUAACAAUGGAUGACACAUGUCAUUUAUUUGAAAGGGGCAAUUGUUCCACUACAAGAUGGACCUGCGUUGUAUUAGCCAGUAGGUGAGGUAAUGGCUCACCUAGGCGACGAUACAUAGCCGACCUGAGAGGGUGAUCGGCCACACUGGGGCUGAGACACGGCCCAGACUCCUACGGGAGGCAGCAGUAGGGAAUCUUCGGCAAUGGGGGCAACCCUGACCGAGCAACGCCGCGUGAGUGAAGAAGGUUUUCGGAUCGUAAAGCUCUGUUGUAAGUCAAGAACGGGUGUGAGAGUGGAAAGUUCACACUGUGACGGUAGCUUACCAGAAAGGGACGGCUAACUACGUG
RNAcentral lists this ribosomal RNA (497 nucleotides) under uncultured bacterium. RNAcentral describes it as "partial 16S ribosomal RNA". It matches the Rfam family "Bacterial small subunit ribosomal RNA", at positions 28 to 507 of the family's 1533-position model. The record is from RNAcentral.